GGGGAAUUAGCUCAGCAAGGAGAGCGCUUGCAUGGCAAGCAAGCGGUCAGCGGUUUGUUAGUCCCCACCA
Molecule: transfer RNA, 70 nt
Filed under: Paenibacillus odorifer
Lineage: Bacteria; Bacillati; Bacillota; Bacilli; Caryophanales; Paenibacillaceae
Also listed under: 1 other name
Description: tRNA-Ala
Source: RNAcentral